Molecule: non-coding RNA, 2588 nt
Organism: Kogia breviceps (pygmy sperm whale)
Lineage: Eukaryota; Metazoa; Chordata; Mammalia; Artiodactyla; Physeteridae
Source: RefSeq, a predicted model, not a curated record
GCAUGGCGGUGUGCGCUCGCCUCUGCGGCGUGGGCCCGUCGCGGGGAUGCCGGCGUCGCCAGCAGCGCCGCGGCCCGGCCGAGGCGGCAGCGGCCGACAGCGAGCCGGACACGGACCCCGAGGAAGAGCGCAUCGAGGCGGGCGCGGCGGCGCUGGCCGGGGCGGGGGGCGGCCGGAGCGCGGGCCCCUCGUCGCCCCCGCGCUGCUCGCUGCUGGAACUGCCGCCCGAGCUGCUUGUGGAGAUUUUCGCUUCGCUGCCGGGCACCGACCUGCCCAGCCUGGCCCAGGUCUGCACCAAGUUCCGGCGCAUCCUGCACACCGACACCAUCUGGAGGCGGCGCUGCCGGGAGGAGUACGGCGUUUGUGAAAACUUGCGGAAGCUGGAGAUCACGGGCGUGUCUUGUCGAGACGUCUACGCGAAGUGUAUAAACCCUCGAGUGAAGUCGGGCCGUUUCAUGAAAAUUCUUCCCGACUUCGAGCACAUGGAAUACAGAGAUGUUUACACCUGCCUGCUUCACCGGUACAGACACAUCUUAGGACUGUGGCAGCCAGAUAUCGGGCCGUAUGGAGGACUGCUGAACGUGGUGGUGGACGGCUUGUUCAUCAUUGGCUGGAUGUACCUGCCCCCCCACGACCCUCAUGUGGACGACCCCAUGCGGUUCAAGCCCUUGUUCCGAAUCCACCUGACGGAGAGGAAGUCGGCCACGGUGGAGUGCAUGUACGGCCACAGGGGGCCCCACAACGGCCACGUCCAGAUCGUGAAGAAGGACGAGUUCUCCACCAAGUGCAACCAGACGGACCACCACAGGAUGUCUGGUGGGAGGCAGGAGGAAUUCCGCACGUGGCUGAGGGAAGAAUGGGGGCGGACGCUGGAGGACAUUUUCCACGAGCACAUGCAGGAGCUCAUCCUGAUGAAGUUCAUCUACACCAGUCAGUAUGACAACUGCCUGACCUACCGCCGCAUCUACCUCCCGCCUAUCCACCCGGACGACCUGAUCAGGCCUGGCCUCUUCAAGGGCACCUACGGCAGCCACGGCCUGGAGAUCGUCAUGCUCAGCUUCCACGGGAAGCACGCCAGGGGCACGAAGAUCACGUUUCUACGGCACGGGCCUCAUCGCCGGUCACGGCUUCACCAGCCCCGAGCGCACCCCCGGGGUCUUCGUCCUGUUCGACGAGGAUCGCUUUGGGUUCAUCUGGCUGGAGCUGAAGUCCUUCAGCCUGUACAGCAGGGUCCAGGCUGCCUUCCGGAAUGCAGACGCCCCGUCCCCACAGGCCUUCGAGGAAAUGCUCAAGAACAUCCAGUCCCUCGCCUCCUGAUGGCCCGCUCCCCCGCGGCAGGUGGCCCGGGCUGGGAGGGCGGCAGUGUGCGCUCAGGAGAUGCGGCCUCUGACCGGAACACCCACCUCCUCGUAGGAGCCUCAGCGCGGCCUCCCCAGACGCUUUCCGUGGACGCCCACGUAUCUGCCAGUAGCAAUGGGAAAGCUGAGCAUGUCUGAAACAAACAACAGAACCAGAACAAACCGACUUAGAGGACGGGCUGCAGGGCAUGUAGGUGACUGAACUGGAGAAAUGGGCCAUUUUCUAGGGAAAACAAAAUCUUCCUCCAGGGAGGUUCACAACGCAACAGACUCUGUUGCCUCCAGCGAUGGAAGGGGUCAUGCGUGAGGUGUGCGGGCUCCACCGUCCCCUCUGCAGGAAGUGAGCCAGAGGGCCUUGGUGACUUCGACACAGCCUGGGCAGGUGGGGGCACUGUGUGUGGAAUGAGAGCUCCAGGGAGUCGGGCUUGGGACCCACUUCUCUACCGACUUGCUUGGAUUUUGGACAAAGGCAUUUCACCCUGAUCUCAGUUUCCAAAUCAGUGAAAUGGGGCCAAUGAUACGGGUCACUAGGGAACGCCACUACAGGCCUUCCAGCAGCUCGGAGGCCCUGUGAGCACCGCCCGACCCCGGUCCCUGCGCUGCCGUGUGCCUGCCCGGCCUCUCUCAGGCUUUAGAACCUAGAGCUUCACUGCAGCAGGUCAGACAGGCAUUCACUUAGUUCACGCCCUGCCCCCGCCCCGCACUCACUGGUGUCGGACCCUGAGCUGCAGCCGCUGGUCUCAGAACCAGGACAGGGCACCCUCUGAGAUGACCUGCGUCUGUUCCUUCUGCUUGGUUUACACAGGUGCCGCUCUUGAGAGGGGCGAAGCAGCAGAAGGGGUUGUGCCAGAAUCGCAGAAGCAGCAAGCUCUGGGCAUGGCCUUGAAGCGCAGACUGGGCCUCCCUGGAGGCUCCGUGGGGCUGCCCUGGGCACGUCGGGCCGGGCACUGUCGGCCGUCUCGUCCGAGGCACGCAGGCCCACCUCCCAGACCCUUCCAGCAGGACCCGGGGUUGGGUGGGAACGUGGUCCCAGCUCCUGCGUGUCUGGAAGGACUGAGCCUCGGAGCCUGAGGCUCCUCCCUCCCUCUCACAACGCGGCUGUUCUUCUCUCGUGCCAAGCGUGGCCGUCCCCAACGGUGACAACUGGCCGCAAAGCCUUGAGGACCGUGAAAACGGAGGACAGCUGGGCUACGCUGUUCCUCUCUAGGUUUCAUCAUUGUUUAAAUACAA